GGGCCUAAAGCAUCCGUAGCCGGCUCMGUARGUCUCCUGUUAAAUCCAACGGCUUAACCGUUGGUCUGCAGGAGAUACCGCUGGRCUAGGAGGCGGGAGAGGCGGACGGUACUYCMAGGGUAGGGGUAAAAUCCUWUGAUCCCUGGAAGACCACCAGUGGCGAAGGCGGUCCGCCAGAACGCGCUCGACGGUGAGGGAUGAAAGCUGGGGGAGCGAACCGGAUUAGAUACCCGGGUAGUCCCAGCUGUAAACGAUGCGAGCUAGGUGAUMCAAUGGCGUCUCUGCCAUUGUAGUGCCGCAGGGAAGCCGUUAAGCUCGCCGCCUGGGGAGUACGGUCGC
This 339-nucleotide ribosomal RNA is filed under the name uncultured crenarchaeote. Its description in RNAcentral is "partial 16S ribosomal RNA". It matches the Rfam family "Archaeal small subunit ribosomal RNA", at positions 506 to 844 of the family's 1478-position model. The record is from RNAcentral. Lineage: Archaea; Thermoproteati; Thermoproteota.